This 429-nucleotide ribosomal RNA is filed under the name Chloroflexota bacterium. Its description in RNAcentral is "Chloroflexi bacterium partial 16S ribosomal RNA". It matches the Rfam family "Bacterial small subunit ribosomal RNA", at positions 355 to 776 of the family's 1533-position model. Lineage: Bacteria; Bacillati; Chloroflexota. The record is from RNAcentral.
UGGGGAAUAUUGCACAAUGGGCGCAAGCCUGAUGCAGCCAUGCCGCGUGUAUGAAGAAGGCCUUCGGGUUGUAAAGUACUUUCAGCGGGGAGGAAGGGAGUAAAGUUAAUACCUUUGCUCAUUGACGUUACCCGCAGAAGAAGCACCGGCUAACUCCGUGCCAGCAGCCGCGGUAAUACGGAGGGUGCAAGCGUUAAUCGGAAUUACUGGGCGUAAAGCGCACGCAGGCGGUUUGUUAAGUCAGAUGUGAAAUCCCCGGGCUCAACCUGGGAACUGCAUCUGAUACUGGCAAGCUUGAGUCUCGUAGAGGGGGGUAGAAUUCCAGGUGUAGCGGUGAAAUGCGUGGAGAUCUGGAGGAAUACCGGUGGCGAAGGAGGCCCCCUGGACGAAGACUGACGCUCAGGUGCGAAAGCGUGGGGAGCAAACAGG